Molecule: ribosomal RNA, 482 nt
Filed under: uncultured bacterium
Lineage: Bacteria
Description: partial 16S ribosomal RNA
Rfam family: Bacterial small subunit ribosomal RNA
Source: RNAcentral
AUUGAACGCUGGCGGCAUGCCUUACACAUGCAAGUCGAACGGUAACGGGCCGUUUGGUGCCGGCGAGUGGCGCGCGGGGGUGUAAUACACCGGAAAGUGCCCGAUCGUGGGGGAUAACGCGGCUGAAGCUUUGCUAAUAUCGCAUACGAUCUACGGAGGAGAACAUGGGGCCGCAAGGGCUUGCGCGGACGGAGCGGCCGAUGGCAGAGUAGGUAGUUGGUGGGGUAAAAGCUUACCAAGACGACGAUCUGUAGCUGGUCUGAGAGGAUGAUCAGCCACACUGGAACUGAGACACGGCCCAGACUCCUACGGGAGGCAGCAGUGGGGAAUUUUGGACAAUGGGCGAAAGCCUGAUCCAGCCAUGCCGCGUGUAGGAUGAAGGCCUUCGGGUUGUAAAGUGCUUUUGUACGGAACGAAAAGCAUUCUUUUAAUACCGGGGGGUCAUGACGGUACCGGAAGAAUAAGCACCGGCUAACUACGUG